GUCCCGGCCCUAAAACUGUGCGCAUUUGCUGUGAGCGGAAUCGACCCCGCUCGUGGCGGAGCUAACGCGUUAAAUGCGCCGCCUGGGGAGUACGGCCGCAAGGUUAAAACUCAAAGAAAUUGACGGGGCCUGCACAAGCGGUGGAGUAUGUGGCUUAAUUCGAUGCAACGCGAAGAACCUUACCUGGCCUUGACAUGCAGAUAGUAGAAGCCUGAAAGGGUGACGAUUCCGCAAGGAAAGUCUGCACAGGUGCUGCAUGGCUGUCGU
Molecule: ribosomal RNA, 267 nt
Filed under: uncultured bacterium
Lineage: Bacteria
Description: partial 16S ribosomal RNA
Rfam family: Bacterial small subunit ribosomal RNA
Source: RNAcentral